GAUUUCUACCUCAUGGGGCUGCUGUUUAACAGUCUCUUUCUCUGUUCUGCAGCACACUGGGCUACUUUGGCUUUGUUGCUGUACAUUACAGACACUCAUUGUUCCCUAUCUGUCGCAUUGUCUCCCUUAAUUCCCACAGGCAGAGCCUGCACGUAGCACGUACAUGCUUCCGGGCGGUGUUUAGUCUCUCUGUCUCUCCAGAAAGCUGCAUGUUUGCUGCCUGUCUGUCUUCAUACUCAUCCCCAAAUGCAGAGUAAUUGGAUCAACUUUUUGGACACAGUCUGUCAAUCUACUGCUGCAAGACACAAAACUCACUGUCUGUGGGGAAGAGGUGGAGUGAAAUCCUAUUGUGCUUUUUCCAGCUAAUCUGAUCCUGAUCUUUUUCUGCAGAAGAAAGGCCUCAAGAAACAGAUGUGUGCUGUGCAGGGAGGCAGCUAACACCACUGCGGUGGAGCGGCAAAGCAGCUGAAUUCACAGGCAGCUGAAGCCUGCUGAGUUUCCUACACAGUUCCCAGACCUCAUUAACAUCUCUCUUGGACUUGGUGCUGACAUGUCUCUGCUGCUGCAGAAGGUACUCGUGCUGUGCUGACCACUUGAUGAGCACUGGGGAGCUGCAGUGAGGCAGGUAAUGCAGAACCUGCUUUUGGAAUCUCCAUGAGCAAGGCCUGGGGCUUGCUGAAGGCCUCUAGCCCUGGUCACCGCUCUGUUAUGCCCUGUGGAACAGACGAUGGACAGGGGAAGGUCUUAGGGUGAGAGGAAAUUUCCCCAUCCACAUGUCUAGGCAUCAAGAGUUCCUGUCGGCCAGCUAAUUAGCAACUGCCUUCCUAGAUUAUGAAUCCAUGUUAGCCUUUGCUCCUCUCUCACAUUACAGUAGCCUCCCACCUUGACAGUAAUGAAACAAAGCCAUCAAAGGAGAUCAAAGCAGAGUAGUUUUGAAACUGCUGUAUAUUUAAUGGGAAACUUCUCCCAUUUCUACCUUGUAGGGUGUGAAAGAACCUAUUUGUAAACUCCUUGGUGUUUCUGGUCAGUUAGAGUAAUAAAUGUCAUGCAAUGUGAAUGUGUUAUUUAAUGAACCACAAUGGCUGGCAGAGCAGUAAUUCCCCAAUAGCUUCAAAAUAUGCUUAACAAAUUAUUGCCUCAGUCCUGCAGCGACGCAAACGCACAUAUGAACAACCUCACACUCAUGCAUUGCCCAUGGAGCUCAAAAAGAUUAUUUCCUUGCCUUGGCUGAAGUGUGGGAUUUUGUCUGACCGCAUGGCCAGAAAGGGGUGUUCAGCUGCUGCACC
RNAcentral lists this long non-coding RNA (1286 nucleotides) under Gallus gallus (chicken). RNAcentral describes it as "lncRNA (ENSGALG00010022091.1)". The record is from RNAcentral. Lineage: Eukaryota; Metazoa; Chordata; Aves; Galliformes; Phasianidae.